RNAcentral lists this long non-coding RNA (276 nucleotides) under Gallus gallus (chicken). Lineage: Eukaryota; Metazoa; Chordata; Aves; Galliformes; Phasianidae. The record is from RNAcentral.
GCCCCUCUUCCUGCUCUCGUACAGCAGACGUGCUCUCUUGGUGGGCAGUGGCUCAUUGGGGCGCUCCUUCCAGGGAGGCAGAGGGAUCUCCAGCAUGUCCUUCCCUGAGUCGCCCAGCGAGGCCCCGCUGUAGCCCCGUGGCACGCACAGCCAUGCCAGCACUGGGCGGCACAGGGUGCAGCGGGGCAGCGAGCACAGCUCCCAACCCUCCCUAUUGCCUCCGUCAGCCCGCAGCCCGUUCUCACCCGGCUCGUCGCCAUGAUUCCUCCCAACCCC